Long non-coding RNA from Hydra vulgaris (swiftwater hydra), 967 nucleotides. RefSeq lists it as uncharacterized. Lineage: Eukaryota; Metazoa; Cnidaria; Hydrozoa; Anthoathecata; Hydridae. The record is from RefSeq and is a predicted model, not a curated record.
AUUUAAUCAAAAAAAAAAAUGGCUCAACACGAAGAAUAUGUAUCUAUAACAAUGAUGAGAGAAAUAAUGCACGUACAAAAAGAAACAAUUAUGGCUUUUUUUCGUGAAAUUGCUAACAGUUUAAAUAUAAAAAUUGACACGCUUUAAAAAGAUGUUUAUGAUGUAAAAAAGGGACUUUGUGAAAUUAAAGGAAGCAUGAACUUAAUUGGUGAUGAAUGGGAAGUCAAAGUAAAAGGUGAUGAUAAUAAAAUCGUAAAGGUAGUCGAAAAAAUAAUUAAUGUAAAAAAAUUACAAGGAAAACUCAUUUCAGAUAACACUGAACUCAAAUCAAAAAGCGUAGACAUUGAGGAUAGAAAUAGACGAAAUAACUUACGGAUUGAUGGACUCAUUGAAGGUGCAGAUGAAAAAGAUUGGGAAGACACUAAAAAUAAAGUCAAAAAACUCUUUGUUGAAAAUCUUGAAAUUGCAAAUGGUAUUAGGAUUGAACGUGCUCAACGAGUUGGUAAUGGUGAUUCUGAACGAGUGCGAACGAUUGUACUAAAGCUGCAUGACUUUGAAGAUAAAGCGAUAAUUAUGGAUAAAGCGAACAAACUAAAAGAUCCAUGUUAUUUUAAAGGCUGUUACCUUCAAAAUUACUGCAGUUUAGUGGCAGGGUACGCAGUUUGCUCAUGUCCAUCAGGGUACCAAUUACUAUCGGAUAACAUAACGUGUUUGUCAGGUAUUUUUUUUGUUGCAUGGUGAUAUUUUAAUGAUGAUUUUAACUUCACAUAAACAUUUAGGGAUGAGCAAAAAUUAAUAUAUGAUUAUAAUCAAAUCUUCAAUAUUUUUUUAAAGUAUAAAGUUGAAGAAGCAAAGAAAAUUUUUAUUGUAACAGUUCCUUUAAAAUUUUAUAUUUUUGUUACAUAAUGUAACCUAAACGAGAUUUGUAACACUAAACGUGUAAUGCCCGUUACUUUUAAUUACUUAA